CAGGGGGGGCGAAGCGUUGUUCGGAAUUACUGGGCGUAAAGGGCCAGUAGGCGGCCAACUAAGUCACACGUGAAAUCCCCAGGCUUAACCUGGGAACUGCGUGUGAUACUGGAUGGCUUGAAUUCGGGAGAGGGAUGCAGAAUUCCAGGUGUAGCGGUGAAAUGCGUAGAUAUCUGGAGGAAUACCGGUGGCGAAGGCGGCAUCCUGGACCGACAUUGACGCUGAACGGCGAAAGCUAGGGGAGCAAACGGGAUUAGAUACCCCGGUAGUCCUAGCCCUAAACGAUGAAUGCUUGGUGUGGCGGGUAUCGAUCCCUGCCGUGCCGAAGCUAACGCAUUAAGCAUUCCGCCUGGGGAGUACGGUCGCAAGGCUG
RNAcentral lists this ribosomal RNA (373 nucleotides) under uncultured organism. RNAcentral describes it as "bacterial SSU rRNA". It matches the Rfam family "Bacterial small subunit ribosomal RNA", at positions 526 to 896 of the family's 1533-position model. The record is from RNAcentral.